This 295-nucleotide long non-coding RNA is filed under the name Carica papaya (papaya). RNAcentral's name for it is "long non-coding RNA (CPAP_LNC009309)". The record is from RNAcentral. Lineage: Eukaryota; Viridiplantae; Streptophyta; Magnoliopsida; Brassicales; Caricaceae.
UCCUGACCCCUUAGGAGCUGAAGCCUGGAUCUUGCAGAUAGAGAAAUUUUUCUCUGUCUUAGACCUAACCGAAGAACAAAAAGUCCCCUUAAUAGCUUUUAUGUUGAUCGGUGAAGCAAAAACUGGUGGCGAUUUAAGAAAGAAGUCCUGCCUACCCCUACCACUUGGGAAGUUUUCAUGAAUACAUUCUUUGAUAACUUUUUCCAGUCUAUGUCUAAGAGAAGAAAGAGGAGGAAUUUUAGGACCUCUGCCAAAGGAAUUUGAUAGUUGCUCAAUAUGUAGCUAGAUUUGUCUA